This is a long non-coding RNA of Hemicordylus capensis (graceful crag lizard), 3724 nucleotides long. RefSeq lists it as uncharacterized. NCBI's taxonomy places the organism in Eukaryota, Metazoa, Chordata, Lepidosauria, Squamata, Cordylidae. The record is from RefSeq and is a predicted model, not a curated record. The transcript is spliced from 7 exons.
AGGCCUAGGAUCGGCAAGGCCUGCAAACUGCAGAGCUCUUCUCUCCCCGCCUCUCAGCUGAUCGGCGGGUGGGCGGGGCUUCCAGAGAGGCCUCCCAGUAGGCCUCCCUGAAGCCUGAACUCGAGUAGGCCCCAAGCAAGGAGGGAGGAAGCAGGCAGCAGACCCUCUGCCCAGACCAGCCCAUCCAGAACAGCUAUUGCUAGGUGGUGCUUCCUACCCAGUUGGUUGUUCCAAGAUAAUGCCUCCUUUUCAAGUUGGCUUGGCUUCCAAGUUGCUUAUGUGGUCAAAGAACAAACUGAUUGAAGUAUCAGGAAGAUUGUGUUGCUUGCAAGUGCAACUGAAAAAUCACUUGACAUUAGAUGGGACGUCAAAAGCUAUGUCCAGGGUCGGACGAAACAGCGGGUGGUUCGAUUCAACCCUGGACCAUGGAACCGAACUAGCUCGAGGUCGAACCUGUUCGCACAUCCUGGCUGCAUUACUUGUACUAUGCGACCAGAGGGAAGUCUAAAAGGUCAGCUUUAAAAUGACCAGGUUAAUGAAAGGAAGAAGCAGGCCCAGAUUACUCUACAUUUACUUUUCCCAUGUACAGACGGAGGUGCAGACGGAGGUUGAAAUGACUGAGGAACAUAGGGACGAAAUGCCGAUUGAUGUACAUAUGGAGGGAUGUAAAUCAGAUGAAGUCUGAAGAUAAGAUAUGCACAAAUGGUUUAGUGGACACCGAAAUCCUGCGCUUGAGACCAGGUCCUGUGUGUAGAGUCUCAAGACUGCAGAAUCACAGAAGACCAGGCAUUCCUGAGCAAGGCUUACCGUUUUUCUUGAGGGGUGCCAUCCUUAGUUGAAGAAUGCUGAGAGCGUAUCUGUUUGUCAAGAAAAAGAGAGGAAAGACCAUGAGCAACCAACCACCACGUAAAGAUUUCCUGCAUCUGGCCAGAGCCAAUGAUUUGGGUGGGCAACCAAGAAAUUGGUUUGUAAGCAUUCCUAUAAUUAUAGUCCUCCUAAAAAAGAGAGGUGUUGGAGCUCAUUGUUGCUUGGAUCUCCCAACUCUAAUCCCUGUUGUGAGGAAAUGCCUGUGGUUAGUCAGGGGUAAGGGAAUGACACUGAACGUGCUCAGAGGCCCUACUGUCUUUGCACUCUUCAGGUCUGAGCUCUGGGAUUAGGAACAGCAGCUGAGUUCAGCAGAAGUUGAGGCAGGAUGAACUCUGGCUCAAAUUAAAGCUCUCUACAAAGCAUGAGUAUUUGGCAUAUCCCCUGUCAAUCAAUUCAAUUUAUUACAGCCAUAGGCCAUACAGAGAACAUACAAAGAUUAAAAAAGGAUUAAAAACACAAUAUGCGAACAAUAAUAUAAUACAUAAAAACAGGACAAAGCAAUAGCUCCUAUGAAUAAGACCUUAAACAAGAUCUUAGUCUGAUAGCAACAUAAAAGAAUUUCGCCGCCACCUUGGUAACCUCAUUAUUUUGAUCCUCAAGGCAGAUGUGAAAGUAGUUCUUCCUCAGCUGGAGGAGACCGUGUCUUUUGAGACAUUCACUUCCCAUCCCAAGCCCUUGGAUAUGGCAGUUAAUAAAUCCAACUUCAAAAUGCAUUUUUAGCUUACCUCAAACAGGCAAAUGACUGAAAUGAUCAUCGUUACCACUGCACUCACUGAUAUAGCAAACAGCCUUUUGCCAUAGCCAGAUUCUGGGAUUCCCUGGCUUCCAAUCUGCAAGGUGGGACAAAGGAAAGGAAAAUGGAAAAUAGGCUUUUUGUGUUUCUACUUUUUCUCCCCACCCCCAAAUAAAAAACACCACUUGUAUUGCUCUCUGUUGAGUUUGCUCUCAUAUGGACAUAUGCAAUUGUCUUAUACCAAGUCAAACAUUGGUCCAUUCAGCCCAGUACUGUCUACUCCAUUUUACAGCUGCUCUCAGCCCUGAAGCCUUAACUAAGAUGCUAGAGAUUAAACCUGAGCUCUCCUGAAUUCAAGACAUGGGGAAUUGCCAAACAGAGAACCACUCUAUUUGAAAAUUGAAGUUCACACAAUUUCUCCACGGGGUGAUCUGCCGAGUUUGUUGGCCAUCGUGCAAUUUCACAGCAUUACCUGCUGACCAUCUGCUACCAAUCUAUGACGGAAAUCAAGUCUUUUGAGACCAUCACAGAUUGGCAGCAAAUGGCCAGCAGGUGGUGCUGUGAAAUUGUGUGAUGGUUAGUGACAUCAUCUGAAGGCAUCAUGCAGAAGUGGUAAGAACCUCCAUUUUCAAACACAAUAUUUCUUCAUCUGGAAACACCCAUGAUUCAGCCACAUGCUUCCUCUCAGAUGCAGCCACAGGGUGUUUGCAGGCCCUAGAGAAUGAACUUUUUGGCCUCUGUUUUCCUUAUUAAAUGUCAUAACGUAUAAUUAAGAAUCUUCUUUGCUCCAGCACCACAGUUUGUAACCUGCACCUGAGCUCCUCUGUUUCUGCUAAUUUCCUGUUGCUGUUGUUUAAUUUUAAUUUGUUCCUCUUCAUCAUCCAUUAGUCUCUAUGUUGCUAUGUUAUAAAAACAGGUAUACAAGAAAAAGGCUUAAGAUUUGCAUUCCUUCUUAGAAUACCUCUCAAACCAAAGUUCAAAAGCAAAUACUGAACAUUUACAAAAUCCUACAAUCCAGGAUAAAGAUAGAUGUUAGAUUUUUUUUUCUGAUUCCAGAGAGCUGAAAGUGGUAUGAUUGAGCCAUUGUCAUUCAUGCUGUGCAAAGUCAUUUUUAUGGCACAGUGUCUUCUUUGGUCAAAUAAGUUUUGCAGGUCUUUAUAGUCCAAGCUGCAAAAAUCGCCCCCAUUCAAGGGAGGUAUGUGUGAGUGUGAGAAAGGGAGAGCGAAUGAGUGAGAGAGAGCAUGAGAUCACACAGGCCAUGUGGAUUCUUUCAUUCCACCUUGAGUUCUCUUCAAAACCAUAUUAUCAGCUUUCUAGUAUGUGCAAAAACCUCAUUCCACUCUACUUUGUCCCUUUCAACCCAGAUCAACCUGACUCUGCCUCUCCUUGCCUUUGAUUUCUUGCUUCUUUACAUGCUGUGGCCCUUGGCUGCAGGCCAUAUCCACAGAUGCUGAUCCCUUGAGCCAAUUUGCACCUACCCAGUCACAGCUGAGUGGCCCACUAACCACUUUCAGCCAUUUUCCAGGAAGGAGUCAAACCAAAACUCAACCUAAACUGAAAAACGGUUUCAGAAUUGUGUUCAGUGUACCAAAACUGCACCCAAAUCUAAACUCUUGGUUGCCUUGAACUGGAGCCAAACCCCUUAUCACAAAAAGUGGCAACUAGUUUAUUUAUUUAUUUAACAUAAUUCUAUACUGCCCCAAACUUGUGACUCUGGGUGGUUUACAAUUAAAAUCCUUUAGAAAUUAAAUCAAUUAAACAAUUAAAAUCAUUUAAACAUUAAAAUCAUUUAAACAUUAAAAUCAUUUAAAAUUCCACAUUAAAAAUAUUAAAACUAUAAAUCUAACUAAAAACCUGAGUGAAUAAAUAUGUCUUCACAGUGACUUUUUAAAAGUUGCCAGAGAUGGGGAAGCUCUUAUUUCAACAAAAGGCUUUUGGUUAAAAAAAAAGUGGCUAAAUAAUGUGGUUCAAAACAACCUAUUUAAUUGUACGUUUUAUAUUUUAUUUUCCUGUUCUUUUAAUCCUGUUCCAUGUAUUUUGUUUGUAAAAACCAUUAACAGAAAUGAAAAAUUCUGUUAAAAUUUUAAAUAUACAUUAAAAAGAUUAUAUAUAUAUAUAUAUAUA